CCGCCGCGGUAAACGUAGGGGGCAAGCGUUAUCCGGAUUUACUGGGCGUAAAGAGCGUUGAGGCGGUUUUGUAAGUUGGGGGUGAAAGCCCUGGGCUUAACUCAGGGAAGGCGUUCGAUACUGCGAAACUUGAGGGCAGCAGAGGGAGGUGGAAUUCCCGGAGUAGCGGUGAAAUGCGUAGAUAUCGGGAGGAACACCAGUGGCGAAGGCGGCCUCCUGGGCUGCUCCUGACGCUGAAGGCGAAAGCUAGGGGAGCGAACGGGAUUAGAAACCCCGGUAGUCCUAGCCGUAAACGAUGGAUGCUAGGUGUGGGGGGUGUAGAUUCCCUCCGUGGCGCAGAUUAACCCGUUAAGCAUACCGCCUGGGGAGUACGGACGCAAGGCUAAAACUCAAACGAAUUGACGGGGGCCCGCACAAGCAGCGGAGCGUGUGGUUUAAUUCGAUGCUACACGAAGAACCUUCACUGGGCUUGACAUACAGGUAGUAGUGAAGUGAAAGCGGAUCGACCCUUCGGGGAGCCUGUACAGGUGCUACAUGGCUGUCGUCAGCUCGUGCCGUGAGGUGUCGGGUUAAGUCCCGUAACGAGCGCAACCCUUGCUGUUAGUUAUACGUGUCUAAGAGGACUGCCGGCGGUAAACCGGAGGAAGGUGGGGAUGACGUCAAGUCAGCAUGGCCUUUAUGUCCAGGGCUACACACACGCUACAAUGGGCGGUACAAUGGGUAGCUAAACCGCGAGGUGGAACCAAUCCUGUAAAGCCGGUUUCAGUUCGAAUUGCAGGUUGCA
This 784-nucleotide ribosomal RNA is filed under the name uncultured Chloroflexota bacterium. RNAcentral describes it as "bacterial SSU rRNA". It matches the Rfam family "Bacterial small subunit ribosomal RNA", at positions 512 to 1309 of the family's 1533-position model. Lineage: Bacteria; Bacillati; Chloroflexota. The record is from RNAcentral.